RNAcentral lists this ribosomal RNA (446 nucleotides) under uncultured bacterium. RNAcentral's name for it is "partial 16S ribosomal RNA". It matches the Rfam family "Bacterial small subunit ribosomal RNA", at positions 338 to 795 of the family's 1533-position model. The record is from RNAcentral.
CCUACGGGUGGCAGCAGUAGGGAAUUUUCGGCAAUGGGGGGAACCCUGACCGAGCAACGCCGCGUGAACGAAGAAGUUAUUCGUAAUGUAAAGUUCUUUUAACAGGGAAGAAAGAGAAGUUUGACGAUACCUGAAGAAUAAGCUCCGGCUAACUACGUGCCAGCAGCCGCGGUAAUACGUAGGGAGCGAGCGUUAUCCGGAAUUAUUGGGCGUAAAGGGUGCGUAGAUGGCAUAGUAAGUCUUUUGUAAAAAUGCUGGGCUAAACCCAGUAGGGCAAAAGAUACUGCAAAGCUAGAGUAUGACAGAGGCAAGUGGAACUACAUGUGUAGCGGUGAAAUGCGUAGAUAUCAGGAGGAACACCGGCGGCGAAGGCGGCUUACUGGACUGUAACUGACGUUGAGGCUCGAAGGCGUGGGGAGCAAACAGGAUUAGAUACCCCAGUAGUC